RNAcentral lists this long non-coding RNA (356 nucleotides) under Solanum tuberosum (potato). Its description in RNAcentral is "long non-coding RNA (STUB_LNC000910)". The record is from RNAcentral. Lineage: Eukaryota; Viridiplantae; Streptophyta; Magnoliopsida; Solanales; Solanaceae.
AAGUACUGGCCAUUAGGUUUAUUAAAGUUGCACAUCAUUGAGCUUUUGCAUUUUGCAUAAAACAUUUGUUAUGAACAUGCUUGUGUAUCAUCUAGGUUGUCAAUUAAGAAGCUCCCUUGAUGCUGAAAUUAUAUGCAGGACAUUGGCCAAAUUUAAUGUCCUUGACCAUUGCAGGUGCAUUAAACUACUGGGUUUCAUCAACACACUGUUGACCUAGCAAUGACGAUAAAUGUUAUAUCAGACACUAAAUUUUCACACUCUCUUGGACUUUAGCAAUUUCUAGGACUUACACUAGGAAAAUAUGGACUUUGCUCCAUUUAUACAUGGUUUGAAUCAGCAUGAAGCUCAUCUCUCCU